This 107-nucleotide small RNA is filed under the name Marmota monax (woodchuck). Lineage: Eukaryota; Metazoa; Chordata; Mammalia; Rodentia; Sciuridae. The record is from RNAcentral.
GCUGGGUGCGGUGGUGCACGCCUGUAAUCCCAGCAACUCCGGAGGCUGAAGCAGGAGGAUUGCAAGUUCGAAGCCAGCCUCAGCAAUUUAGGAAGACCCUGUCUCAA